ACCUUUUGUAUAAUGGGUCAGCGAGUUACUUUCAGUGGCGAGGUUAACUGCAUAAGGGAGCCGUAGAGAAAUCGAGUCUGAAUAGGGCGAUAGUCGCUGGGAGUAGACCCGAAACCGGGCGAUCUAGCCAUGUGCAGGAUGAAGGUUGGGUAACACCAACUGGAGGUCCGAACCGGGUAAUGUUGAAAAAUUAUCGGAUGACGUGUGGCUAGGAGUGAAAGGCUAAUCAAGCCCGGAGAUAGCUGGUUCUCCCCGAAAGCUAUUUAGGUAGCGCCUCGUGAAUGAUUACUGGGGGUAGAGCACUGUUUCGGCUAGGGGGCUGUCAUGGCUUACCAAACCGAUGCAAACUCCGAAUACCGGCUAAUUGGAUCACGGGAGACACACGGCGGGUGCUAACGUCCGUCGUGGAGAGGGAAACAACCCAGACCGCCAGCUAAGGUCCCCAAGUACUAGUUAAGUGGGAAACGAUGUGGGAAGGCAUAGACAGCCAGGAGGUUGGCUUAGAAGCAGCCACCCUUUAAAGAAAGCGUAAUAGCUCACUGGUCGAGUCGGCCUGCGCGGAAGAUGUAACGGGGCUAAAACUAGUCACCGAAGCUGCGGAUGUGCGCGAAGGCGCACGUGGUAGGGGAGCGUUCUGUAGGCUGAUGAAGGUGCAUUGAGAGGUGUGCUGGAGGUAUCAGAAGUGCGAAUGCUGACAUGAGUAACGAUAAUGUGGGUGAAAAGCCCACACGCCGGAAGUCCCAGGUUUCCUGCACGACGUUAAUCGGAGCAGGGUGAGUCGGCCCCUAAGGCGAGGCUGAAGAGCGUAGUCGAUGGGAACCAGGUUAAUAUUCCUGGACUUUUUAUAAGUGGUGAAGUGGGGACGAAGAAGGCUAGGUGAGCCAGGCGUUGGUUGUCCUGGUACUUGCAUGUAGGGGGGAAGACUUGGCAAAUCCGGUUUUCCGAUACUCUGAGGUGCGAAGUGGUUCUGACCUUUUGGUACAGAGAAGUCAUUGAUGCCCGGCUUCCAGGAAAAGCUGCUAGCCAUAACUUAUAGAGAACCGUACCGCAAACCGACACAGGUGGACAGGUAGAGAAUACUAAGGCGCUUGAGAGAACUCGGGUGAAGGAACUAGGCAAAAUGGUACCGUAACUUCGGGAGAAGGUACGCCCUUUCUGGUGAUGGGAUUUACUUUCAGAGCUGGAGAGGGCCGCAGAGACCAGGUGGCUGCGACUGUUUAUUAAAAACACAGCACUCUGCAAAUUCGUAAGAAGACGUAUAGGGUGUGACGCCUGCCCGGUGCCGGAAGGUUAAUUGAUGGGGUUAUCUUCGGAGAAGCUCUUGAUCGAAGCCCCGGUAAACGGCGGCCGUAACUAUAACGGUCCUAAGGUAGCGAAAUUCCUUGUCGGGUAAGUUCCGACCUGCACGAAUGGCGUAACGAUGGCCACACUGUCUCCACCCGAGACUCAGUGAAAUUGAAAUCGCUGUGAAGAUGCAGUGUACCCGCGGCUAGACGGAAAGACCCCGUGAACCUUUACUAUAGUUUUGCACUGGACUUUGAUGAUGACUGUGUAGGAUAGGUGGGAGGCUGUGAAGUGAGGACGCUAGUUCUCAUGGAGCCGCCCUUGAAAUACCACCCUGUUGUUAUUGAGGUUCUAACUUGGUCCAGUAAUCCUGGAUGAGGACAGUGUAUGAUGGGUAGUUUGACUGGGGCGGUCUCCUCCCAAAGAGUAACGGAGGAGCACAAAGGUACCCUCGGUACGGUCGGACAUCGUACCAAGAGUGUAAAGGCAAAAGGGUGCUUGACUGCGAGAGUGACGGCUCGAGCAGGAACGAAAGUUGGUCUUAGUGAUCCGGUGGUUCUGAAUGGAAGGGCCAUCGCUCAACGGAUAAAAGGUACUCCGGGGAUAACAGGCUGAUACCGCCCAAGAGUUCAUAUCGACGGCGGUGUUUGGCACCUCGAUGUCGGCUCAUCACAUCCUGGGGCUGAAGCAGGUCCCAAGGGUAUGGCUGUUCGCCAUUUAAAGUGGUACGCGAGCUGGGUUUAGAACGUCGUGAGACAGUUCGGUCCCUAUCUGCCGUGGGCGUAGGAAAAUUGAGAGGAGCUGCUCCUAGUACGAGAGGACCGGAGUGGACGAACCUCUGGUGCACCGGUUGUCACGCCAGUGGCAUGGCCGGGUAGCUAAGUUCGGACGGGAUAACCGCUGAAAGCAUCUAAGCGGGAAGCCUCCCUCAAGAUGAGUUUUCCCAUGAAGCCCGUUGAAGACUACGACGUUGAUAGGCAAGGUGUGGAAGCGCAGUAAUGCGUGAAGCUAACUUGUACUAAUUGGCUGAUUGUCUUGACCAU
This 2327-nucleotide ribosomal RNA is filed under the name Legionella pneumophila. Its description in RNAcentral is "partial 23S ribosomal RNA". It matches the Rfam family "Bacterial large subunit ribosomal RNA", at positions 603 to 2925 of the family's 2925-position model. Lineage: Bacteria; Pseudomonadati; Pseudomonadota; Gammaproteobacteria; Legionellales; Legionellaceae. The record is from RNAcentral.